This 497-nucleotide ribosomal RNA is filed under the name uncultured bacterium. RNAcentral's name for it is "partial 16S ribosomal RNA". It matches the Rfam family "Bacterial small subunit ribosomal RNA", at positions 28 to 507 of the family's 1533-position model. The record is from RNAcentral.
GAUGAACGCUGGCGGCGUGCCUAAUACAUGCAAGUCGAACGCAUAGCGAAAGGUGCUUGCACCUUUCAAGUGAGUGGCGAACGGGUGAGGAACACGUGGACAACCUGCCUCAAGGCGGGGGAUAACAUUUGGAAACAGAUGCUAAUACCGAAUAAAACUUAGUGUCGCAUGACACAAAGUUAAAAGGCGCUUCGGCGUCACCUAGAGAUGGAUCCGCGGUGCAUUAGUUAGUUGGUGGGGUAAAGGCCUACCAAGACAAUGAUGCAUAGCCGAGUUGAGAGACUGAUCGGCCACAUUGGGACUGAGACACGGCCCAAACUCCUACGGGAGGCUGCAGUAGGGAAUCUUCCACAAUGGGCGAAAGCCUGAUGGAGCAACGCCGCGUGUGUGAUGAAGGCUUUCGGGUCGUAAAGCACUGUUGUAUGGGAAGAACAGCUAGAAUAGGAAAUGAUUUUAGUUUGACGGUACCAUACCAGAAAGGGACGGCUAAAUACGUG